AGUGAGCGCUGGCGGCGUGCUUAACACAUGCAAGCCGAACGAGAACGGAUUAUAGCUUGCUAUAAUUGUCAGCUAAGUGGCGCACGGGUGAGUAAUGUAUAGGUAAUAUGCCUCUUACUAAGGGAUAACAAAUGGAAACGUUUGCUAAUACCUUAUACUCCUUAUUAACAGAAGUUAAUAAGGGAAAGAUUUAUUGGUAAGAGAUUAGCCUGUAUUGUAUCAGUUAGUUGGUGGGGUAAUGGCUUACCAAGACUAUGACACAUAACUGGUUUGAGAGGAUGAUCAGUCACACUGGAACUGAGACACGGUCCAGACUCCUACGGGAGGCAGCAGUGGGGAAUAUUGCACAAUGGACGAAAGUCUGAUGCAGCAACGCCGCGUGGAGGAUGACACAUUUCGGUGCGUAAACUCCUUUUAUAUGAGAAGAUAAUGACGGUAUUAUAUGAAUAAGCACCGGCUAACUCCGUGCCAGCCGCCGCUGUAA
This 484-nucleotide ribosomal RNA is filed under the name uncultured bacterium. RNAcentral's name for it is "partial 16S ribosomal RNA". It matches the Rfam family "Bacterial small subunit ribosomal RNA", at positions 29 to 523 of the family's 1533-position model. The record is from RNAcentral.